This 253-nucleotide ribosomal RNA is filed under the name uncultured bacterium. Its description in RNAcentral is "partial 16S ribosomal RNA". It matches the Rfam family "Bacterial small subunit ribosomal RNA", at positions 524 to 776 of the family's 1533-position model. The record is from RNAcentral.
UACGGAGGAGGCAAGCGUUAUCCAGAAUUAUUGGGCGUAAAGCGUCCGUAGGUGGCUAGUCAAGUCUGCGGUCAAAGACUGGGGCUUAACCCUGGAAAGGCCGUGGAAACUGACGAGCUAGAGUGCAGUAGGGGUAGAGGGAAUUCCCGGUGUAGCGGUGAAAUGCGUAGAGCUCGGGAAGAACAUCGGUGGCGAAAGCGCUCUACUGGACUGCAACUGACACUCAGGGACGAAAGCUAGGGGAGCGAAUGGG